Molecule: ribosomal RNA, 301 nt
Filed under: uncultured bacterium
Lineage: Bacteria
Description: partial 16S ribosomal RNA
Rfam family: Bacterial small subunit ribosomal RNA
Source: RNAcentral
CAGUAGCCGCGGGAAUACGAAGGGUGCAAGCGUUACUCGGAAUUACUGGGCGUAAAGCGUGCGUAGGCGGCUUCUUAAGUCGGAUGUGAAAUCCCUGAGCUUAACUUAGGAAUUGCAUUCGAUACUGGGAAGCUAGAGUAUGGGAGAGGAUGGUAGAAUUCCAGGUGUAGCGGUGAAAUGCGUAGAGAUCUGGAGGAAUACCGAUGGCGAAGGCAGCCAUCUGGCCUAAUACUGACGCUGAGGUACGAAAGCAUGGGGAGCAAACAGGAUUAGAGACCCGCGUAGUCCCUGUCUCUUAUAC